This 866-nucleotide long non-coding RNA is filed under the name Ananas comosus (pineapple). RNAcentral describes it as "long non-coding RNA (ACOM_LNC040837)". Lineage: Eukaryota; Viridiplantae; Streptophyta; Magnoliopsida; Poales; Bromeliaceae. The record is from RNAcentral.
GAGAGAGAGAGAGAGAGAGAGAGAGAGAGUUGAGCUAGAAUGCUAUCGAUAGCAAACGGGCUCUGUUGCCACCUAUUUGUUUUCGAUGAUAGAGCCUCCAAAUCGACGAUCGGCACUGUUGAACAUGAUCUAUACCACUUGAAGUGUUUAGAAAUCAAAUUUCAAAUAUUUUCGACAUGAUUUGCCUAAUGAUCAAAGGAUUUCAAAAUUUGUAAUUUUAAUAGUCGAUAUGAGCCGUUUUCUCGUUUAACGGCGUAAAGAUAUCCAAAUCAAUUGAAUUUUUAUUAGAAAAUUCCUGAAACUAUUUAAAACAAAAUCUAUACUCUUGAUCUUGACUAUAAGACUCCUAUCAUCAUUUUUUAAAGAAUAUUCAUUUUCAGCCGUUCAUUUUUGUGUCCACUCAAUGGAUAAGAAAACAAUAUCGAAAAAGUAUGAAAUUUGAUUUCUAGAUACUUCAAGUGGUAUAGAUCAUGUUCAACGGUACCGAUCGUCGAUUUGGAGGCUCCAUCAUAAAAAAUAAAUGGGUGGCAACGGAGCCCGUUUGCUACCGAUAGUAUUCCAGCUCAACUCUAUAUAUAUAUAUAGGCCAUGGCUACUAUACUAUUAUGAGUAUUGGAGCCCUCGUUCUCAUAAGUUGUUUUCGAUGAUGGAGCUUCCGAAUCGACGAUCCACUCCGUUAAAUAUGAUCUAGAGUAUUUGAAACUUCUAGAAAAUAAAUUUCGUAAAUUUCGAAAUCAUAAUAAAGUCCAUCAAGUGGGCAUAAAAUGAAUGGUCAAAAUCGAACGACGUCCUAAAAAAGCAUGAUCGGAUCCUUCAAUUCAAGAUCGGAGUUAUUGAUCUUUAUCUAUGUAGUGAAUAGAAUUUUC